GACAGACCUGGUGAACAGGAUUGAGCAUCUGUUUACUGAUAAUAAACAGCAGUGCUACAAUAGUGAGAUGUACAACACAGCGUUGAGACAGAGAGAAGAUGUGCAAAACAGGACAUUUAAAAGUGACCAACCCACAAUUAUUGGAAAGACUAUGGACUGUACCUUGAUGACAGAGACAUGGCAGACACAUAGGAGAAACUUAGAGAAGUGUUCAUUCGAUGGGUCACGAUUAGAUCAUAACAGAAACGGAAGGAGGAAAGAAGUAGAGCAUCUAUUUCACAGACUUCAUCUUGAUAACAUACACCCCUCUAAACUAAGAGCUGCAGAUGUUCUUCAACUAACAAC
RNAcentral lists this long non-coding RNA (345 nucleotides) under Sinocyclocheilus grahami. Its description in RNAcentral is "lncRNA (ENSSGRG00000010563.1)". Lineage: Eukaryota; Metazoa; Chordata; Actinopteri; Cypriniformes; Cyprinidae. The record is from RNAcentral.